This 239-nucleotide ribosomal RNA is filed under the name uncultured bacterium. RNAcentral describes it as "partial 16S ribosomal RNA". It matches the Rfam family "Bacterial small subunit ribosomal RNA", at positions 538 to 776 of the family's 1533-position model. The record is from RNAcentral.
GCGUUGUCCGGAAUUAUUGGGCGUAAAGAGCUCGUAGGCGGCUUGUCGCGUCGGAUGUGAAAGCCCGGGGCUUAACUCCGGGUCUGCAUUCGAUACGGGCAGGCUAGAGUUCGGUAGGGGAGAUCGGAAUUCCUGGUGUAGCGGUGAAAUGCGCAGAUAUCAGGAGGAACACCGGUGGCGAAGGCGGAUCUCUGGGCCGAUACUGACGCUGAGGAGCGAAAGCGUGGGGAGCAAACAGG